Molecule: ribosomal RNA, 274 nt
Filed under: uncultured bacterium
Lineage: Bacteria
Description: partial 16S ribosomal RNA
Rfam family: Bacterial small subunit ribosomal RNA
Source: RNAcentral
AUACGGGGGGUGCAAGCGUUGUCCGGAAUCAUUGGGUGUAAAGGGUUCGUAGGUGGAAUUAUAAGUCUGGUGUGAAAGCCCACAGCUCAACUGUGGAACUGCACUGGAUACUGUUUUUCUUGAGUUAUAGAGGGGUUUGUGGAAUUUCUGGUGUAGAGGUGAAAUUUGUAGAGAUCAGAAAGAACACCGGUGGCGAAGGCGACAAACUGGCUAUUAACUGACACUGAGGAACGAAAGCGUGGGGAGCGAACAGGAUUAGAAACCCUAGUAGUCC